GGCCAACAGCUGCGUAAAAAAUACUUUAAAAUCAAAAAAUGAGGAAAAGGAAGCUUGUUUGCCUCACUUGAUAUCCGAUGUGACAGAGAAGAAAGAAGUCAGUGAGAAUCUUAUUCUAGAAAAAGUCCUGGACGUGGCUGAAAUACCUCCAGUCCUAAACAGUCCAAAAUUUGGGGUGAACCGAGCCACCACUGAAAGCACUUUGAAAGAGGAAGACAAAAAUUGGCUGGCACAGGAGAAAAAUGAAGACAAAGACAGCUUGGAAGAGGAGCACAAUAGUGGAUCUGCUGUGGCAGAAGAGAGCAGGCAGUUUGAGACUGAAAUUGACCCAAUAAAGCCAUGGAAUGUCCAUACUGGAGGGUCACUGAAGGAAAUAACCAAAGUGGAAGAAACAAACAUAUAUUUGCUGGAAGAAAAACAGAUACAUGUUCAGAAUUUGCAGGAAGAACUGCAACAGCGAGAGGAAGAAGAGAUCCAGGUGUUACAUCAACAGCAAGAGUCUGCCCUUUGGCUGGCACAAGAAGCUGCAUUGAACCAGCUGAAAGAGGAGCUAGAAUCCUUUCAGCAACAGGAGAGAGAAAAGCUCAAAAAGCAGAAGUGGCUUUUUCUGGAACGGAUAAAAAAAGAGGCUGAAAUGGCUGAGCAGGCUGAACUGGUGGCACUGGAGCAGGAGAACCAGAGGGCCCUGAAUGAACUGAGGGAGAAGCUGUGCAGAGAAAAGGAACUGGCUCUGCAGGAACUACAGGUGCAGCUGGCAGCAGAUAUCCAGCAACAGAAAACUGCAACAGCAGAAGAGCACCAGAAGGUUAUUCUGACCCUCCGGAUGGAAAUAAUGGAGGCUCAGAGAAGAGAGAAAGAAGAACUUCAGAAGGAGCUCGAGAGUGUGGAGCAAAA
This 894-nucleotide long non-coding RNA is filed under the name Notechis scutatus (mainland tiger snake). RNAcentral's name for it is "lncRNA (ENSNSUG00000007067.1)". Lineage: Eukaryota; Metazoa; Chordata; Lepidosauria; Squamata; Elapidae. The record is from RNAcentral.